GUCAUAAGCUUGCGCUGAUUACGUCCCUGCCCUUUGUACACACCGCCCGUCGCUACUACCGAUUGAAUGGUUUAGCAAGGUCCUCGGAUUGGUGCCAUUGUAGUGGCUUCGGCCGCUCGACCGGUGCUGAGAAGACGACCAAACUUGAUCAUUUAGAGGAAGUAAAAGUCGUAACAAGGUUUCCGUAGGUGAACCUGCGGAAGGAUCAUUACCCGAUAUCCUAUUUUGCUAUUUGGAGAUUCACGGUGACCGUCAUGUCACCCAAUACAUUUUGCGAAUGACUAUGCCUGGCCCUUGUAGGUCACAGCAUAGCCGAAUAAUGCCAGGGUGCCUACCCGUAUGAUCCUCUGAUGGUAUGCAUUCGGUCUUCGGAUCGUAUGUCCAAGCCAGGAGAACGGGUUGUACUGCCGUGUCAGGUAGUGCUAGGCUUAAAGAGGAGAAUUGGGCUACGGCCCUGCUCCCGCCCUGUGAUCUGUUCCAUUACUACUAUUACACUGUUAAAGUGGAUGCGUGUGGCUUGCCACUCGUAGCCAUUGACCUCACAUGCACCUGGUCCUUGUGGCUGGACUGCACGUACGUCGCCCGGCGGUGCCUAUCCCGGGUAGGACUGUAAACUGGUCUUCGAUUGUCUACGGAUGGUCGGGACCUUAUGUACAACUCUGAACGGUGGAUCACUCGGCUCGUGUGUCGAUGAAGAGCGCAGCCAACUGUGUGAAUUAAUGCAAACUGCAUACUGCUUUGAACAUCGACAUCUUGAACGCAUAUUGCGGCCAUGGGUUGUCCUGUGGCCACGCCUGUCCGAGGGUCGGCUUAUAAACUAUCACGACGCCCAAAUAGUCGUGGCUUGGGUUUUGCCAGCUGGCGUGAUUUCCUCUGUGAGCAAUCAUGUGAGGUGCCAGAUCUAUGGCGUUUCCCUAAUGUAUCCGGAUGCAUCCUUGUCUGGCUGAGGGCCAUGGUGAGGUGCAGUAACGGAAUCGUGGUUUAAUGUGGCUAUGCCCCGUUUUCAGUGUGUUCGGCCAUUUAGUCGGCAUGCUUAUGACUACGGGUGGAGCUAUGAUUGGGUUGGUACUCGGUAUCAGUGAGUUUGGCGAUUCUAGUCGGCUCACAUAUGAUUUCCGAGGUGAUUCCACACCAUGCACGUUCCGUUGCUGUUGCUUCAUUUUUGGUUUGAUGCUGGCUUGGGCCAUGUAUCUGAUGAAUACUCAUAAACAGACUGCCUUGUGCGGACUGCUUCCUGACCUCGGUUCAGACGUGAUUACCCGCUGAACUUAAGCAUAUCACUAAGCGGAGGAAAAGAAACUA
This 1302-nucleotide ribosomal RNA is filed under the name Petasiger phalacrocoracis. Its description in RNAcentral is "eukaryotic LSU rRNA". The stretch from base 1 to 211 matches the Rfam family "Eukaryotic small subunit ribosomal RNA", at positions 1627 to 1831 of the family's 1831-position model. Lineage: Eukaryota; Metazoa; Platyhelminthes; Trematoda; Plagiorchiida; Echinostomatidae. The record is from RNAcentral.